GUGCAAAGGUAGCAUAAUCAUUUGUUUCUUCAUUAGAAACUGGAAUGAAGGGUUUAAUGAAAAGUAUCUUUAUUAAUAUAAUAAAUUGAAUUUAAUCUUAGAAUAAAAAAGUUCUAAUGGAGUUGUGGGACGAUAAGACCCUAUAAAGCUUUAUAAUAAAUUAAGAAGAAAAGAAUUAUUCUUAUUAAAAUAUUUUACUGGGGUGGUAAAAAAAUUAUAUAAAUGAGAAUUUGAUCCAUUAAUUAUGACAAUUAGAUAAAGUUACUUUAGGGAUAACAGCAUAAUUCUUUUUAAGAGAUCUUAUCAAUGAAAGAGAUUAUGACCUCGAUGUUGAAUU
Molecule: ribosomal RNA, 337 nt
Filed under: Histricostoma caucasicum
Lineage: Eukaryota; Metazoa; Arthropoda; Arachnida; Opiliones; Nemastomatidae
Description: partial large subunit ribosomal RNA
Source: RNAcentral